UGGGGAAUUUUGGACAAUGGGCGCAAGCCUGAUCCAGCCAUGCCGCGUGCGGGAAGAAGGCCUUCGGGUUGUAAACCGCUUUUGUCAGGGAAGAAAUCUUCUGAGUUAAUACCUCGGGAGGAUGACGGUACCUGAAGAAUAAGCACCGGCUAACUACGUGCCAGCAGCCGCGGUAAUACGUAGGGUGCAAGCGUUAAUCGGAAUUACUGGGCGUAAAGCGUGCGCAGGCGGUUUUGUAAGACAGAGGUGAAAUCCCCGGGCUCAACCUGGGAACUGCCUUUGUGACUGCAAGGCUUGAGUGCGGCAGAGGGGGGAUGGAAUUCCGCGUGUAGCAGUGAAAUGCGUAGAUAUGCGGAGGAACACCGAUGGCGAAGGCAAUCCCCUGGGCCUGCACUGACGCUCAUGCACGAAAGCGUGGGGAGCAAACAGGAUUAGAUAGCCCUGGUAGUCCACGCCCUAAAACGAUGUCAACUGGUUGUUGGGAAGGUUCCUUCUCAGUAACGUAGCUAACGCGUGAAGUUGACCGCCUGGGGAGUACGGCCGCAAGGUUG
RNAcentral lists this ribosomal RNA (551 nucleotides) under uncultured bacterium. Its description in RNAcentral is "partial 16S ribosomal RNA". It matches the Rfam family "Bacterial small subunit ribosomal RNA", at positions 355 to 896 of the family's 1533-position model. The record is from RNAcentral.